Molecule: ribosomal RNA, 460 nt
Filed under: uncultured bacterium
Lineage: Bacteria
Description: partial 16S ribosomal RNA
Rfam family: Bacterial small subunit ribosomal RNA
Source: RNAcentral
CCUACGGGUGGCAGCAGUGAGGAAUAUUGGUCAAUGGGCGGGAGCCUGAACCAGCCAAGCCGCGUGCGGGAAGAAGGUCCAGCGUAUCGUAAACCUCUUUUGUCAGGGGACAAAGUCGGGGACUAGUCCCCUGUUGAGGGUACCUGAUGAAAAAGCAUCGGCUAACUCCGUGCCAGCAGCCGCGGUAAUACGGAGGAUGCGGGCGUUAUCCGGAUUUAUUGGGUUUAAAGGGUGCGCAGGCCGCCUGUUAAGCCAGGCGUGAAAGGCCGGGGCUCAACCCCGGCGCUGCGGUGAAAACUGGCGGGCUGGAGUGGGAGAGACGUACGCGGAAUGCGUGGUGUAGCGGUGAAAUGCUUAGAUAUCGCGCAGAACCCCGAUUGCGAAGGCAGCGUACCGGAGCGAUACUGACGCUGAGGCACGAAAGCGUGGGUAUCGAACAGGAUUAGAUACCCUUGUAGUC